GUACCGUGGGUGAAUGAAGAGGUCGAGACUUUGUCUUUGGUGGCGGACCAAAGAAUACAGAGAGAGCUGGACGGAGAAAGUUUAUCAGGAGGUCUCUGAGCGGAUGGCCGCUCACAUAUACAGUAGACUGUAUAUAAAGAGGACAGAAGCAGUGUAGGGAGAAGCUGAAAAAGCUCAAAAGUGACCAUCGGUCCACCCAGGACCACAACGGCCGGCGUGGGUCAACCAGGAGGUGUUGGAAGAGGUUUCAUGAACGCUAUUUACUGGCACCGCACCGCCAGCAACAGGAGGGAGACUCAGCCGCUGCAUUGUUGGAGACGUUCGAGGACGAAUCCCUUUCCACAUGCGAAGCCUACUCCACCUCCGUCGCGGAGCCCCCGGCUGCCCUGCCUCCUCUCCACCACCAGCAGCGGCUCCUCUCCAGCACCAGCUCGGACACCGACACCAGCACGUCACAGCAACGUCUUAUCACCGGCAAGAGGAAAGGGGGCCACAGAAAAUUGGACCUUCCUAGCAUACUUGUGGAGAUGCAGGCUGAGGAGGAGUGGAGUCAUGCCCAGCAUGAUGAGAACAUCUGGUUGCUCCUCAGCGAGGCAAGAGAGAAUGAAGCGGCCUUGCAGUGGGAGGAGAUGGCCCAGAAUACUGCCUUCAACCAGUCAUUCCUGGGUGUGCUGGGGCAGCUGGGGUAGCUGGGUAGGCAGUGGGCAGCCGGCGAGUGUGAGCGAGUCCACCUCCCAUAGACUUGAGAUUUACAAGUGCUGG
This is a long non-coding RNA of Amphiprion ocellaris (clown anemonefish), 762 nucleotides long. The record is from Ensembl. NCBI's taxonomy places the organism in Eukaryota, Metazoa, Chordata, Actinopteri, Pomacentridae.